CUUUUAAAUUCUAGGAGACCUGUUACAUAAAAGGAUCUGUUAUGGACCGAAGAAGUUUUAGCAAUUCUCUAAAACUAAGAAAAUGACCGACAAAUUCCAUUGCCAGCUGUCGCGGUUAUUAUGGUGGAUCAGAGGAAAACUAAUCAAUUUACUCUAGAAGGAAAGAAUACAGUGAAAUGUUUCUUAUUUUUAUUAAAGGAUCAAAACGACAAGGAUCAGAUACCCUUUUAAUUUUACCAAAACAAACAGGAAAGGGUACUGAAGGAAUUUUGCUAGUGUAUAUUACUUAGGGGGGACUGGGAGUUAAAGUGAUAAUCCUCAUAAAAUUUCCCUAUGCAAUAGUUUCCAAAUCGCUGUCCUAGCCCUUUAAAAAUCGGGAUUUAGGUUUUUCCUCAUGGGUCAAGUGAGAAAGAAUCCACUUUAGGGGCUUCCUGGGCCACACUAACAAAAGAGACGCACUUAAAAGUAAAUCUUAAAGCAAGGCUGAAACCAUUAGUGCAGGGACAAAUCGCUCGGUGACUCUGAAAAGAGUAAGCCGCAACAAGGUAAGAGUACUGGAAGGUGUUCUU
RNAcentral lists this ribosomal RNA (569 nucleotides) under Xiphinema americanum. Its description in RNAcentral is "12S ribosomal RNA". The record is from RNAcentral. Lineage: Eukaryota; Metazoa; Nematoda; Enoplea; Dorylaimida; Longidoridae.